AACAGGAAGCUUUGAGUGAUCUCAAGGAACAAUGUUUAGCUUUUGGUAAAUCCCAGAAGAGAGAUCUUACAAGGUGGCUUUUCACUUUAAUUUGUCUCGAGAGAUCCUCUCCAUCUUCGAUCCUUUACUUUCUGGCUUGCUCCCAGACUUUGCCUUUAAAUAAUUCAGCUUUCAGGCUUAAGAAGGUCUCAAUUGGCUCUUGGUGGGGAGAGAAUACCAAGAACUACUACUAAAUUUGAUUCUGGUGCCGGAGCAGAUCCAGGAACUGCCAUAUUUAGAUGCACAACUGAAAGAAGAUUAAGAAAUAAGAUCUAUAAGGACAAUAGAAAGAUUGUGAUGCAAAUUAAAGGGAAUGAAACCUUGAUGAUUAAGAAUGGAAAGACCUCCGGAUACAGGGACUACUCCAAGCUCUCUGGAUCCGAAGCAAUGGAAUGUAGUUCUGCCACACAAUUAGAACCAUGCAACUUGUGUGCACCGCAAGCCCAUUUCCCAAGGGAAGAGAAGACAGCAAGCACCAAAGAAACACUGCAUCUGGGACCAGAGUCCUCGUUGCUUAAAUCCUUAGGAGGGAGGCCCUAGACCCGGUCAAGGAAAGCGGAAAAGCGAAAGGCAAGGGGACACGAUCUCUGUUGCUUUGGG
RNAcentral lists this long non-coding RNA (639 nucleotides) under Musa acuminata (dwarf banana). RNAcentral describes it as "long non-coding RNA (MACU_LNC001676)". Lineage: Eukaryota; Viridiplantae; Streptophyta; Magnoliopsida; Zingiberales; Musaceae. The record is from RNAcentral.